UCUUAAAGGAGUUCAAAAAAAGUCCACAAUAAAUUUUAAAAGAAUCCUUAAGAAAUCCUAAAAAUUAUUAAAAUAGUCAUAGUUAUAUCUUAAAUAAAUCUCAAUCAAGUUUUAAUUUAAUCCUAUUUGAAAUCCUAAUAGACUUUAAUUAAAUCCUAGAUAAAUCCUAAAUUCUAAAUCAAAUCGUAGAUAAACUUUAAAUCCUAAAUCAAAUCCUAGACAAAUCCUAAAUCCUAAAUCAAAUCCUAGAUAAAUUUUAAAUCUUGAAUCAAAUCCUAAAAAAAUCUUAAAUAUUAAAUUAAACUUUAAACAAACUUUAAACCUUAGAUCAAGCCUUGGACAAAUCCUAAAUCCUAAAUCAAAUCCUUAGACAAAUCCUAAAUCUUAGACCAAAUCCUAGACAAAUUCUAAACUCUAAACCAAAUCCUAAAAAAAUCCUAAAUCUUAAAUAAAAUCCUAUAUAAAUCCUAAACUCUAAAUCAAAUCUUGAACAAAUCUUAAAUCAUAAACCAAAUCCUAAAUCUUAGACCAAAUCCUUGAUAAAUCUUAUAUUUUAAAUCAGAUUCUAGACAAAUCUUAAACCCUAAAUUCUAAACCAAAUCUGAGACAAAUCCUAAAUCCUAAAUCAAAUCCUAAACAAACUCUGAAAAAUCUUAAAUCCUAAACCAAAUCUUUCAUAAAUCCUAAAUCCUAAAUCAAAUCCUAAAUCCUAAAUCAAAUCCUAAACAAAACUCAAACUUUAAAUUAAAUCCUAGACAAAUCCUAAAUUCUAAACCAAAUCCUAAAUAAUUCCUAAAUCUUAAACCAAAUUCUAGACAAACCUUAAAUCCUAAAUCAAAUCCAAGACAAAUCUUAAAUCCUAAAUCAAACCCUAAAAAAACCUUAAAUCUUAAGCCAAAUCCUAAACAAAUUCCAAAUCCUAAACCAAAUCCUAACCAAAUUCUAACCAACUCAAUCUAUUCUUAGUAUUGUUUAGAACCUCAAUAUCUAUUAAUUGAAUCAUUGAUCUUGCUUAAAAAUUUAUAUACUUCUCAACAACUAAGUUAACAACAAGCAUACAAAAUUUGAAGAUAAUUG
This 1077-nucleotide long non-coding RNA is filed under the name Physcomitrium patens. RNAcentral's name for it is "long non-coding RNA (PPAT_LNC002403)". Lineage: Eukaryota; Viridiplantae; Streptophyta; Bryopsida; Funariales; Funariaceae. The record is from RNAcentral.